GAUCGCGCAAUUUUUGAAUUUGAAUGUCUGGAGAUCUGUGGAAGUUGUGGAAUUAAAUCCUUGUUGAGGCGACGAGGGCGCUGCAUUGAGAGAAAAGUUGGAGGGAAAUCGGAGAGCUGGCGAAGAAAAAACGAGGAAUCUUUCUCUUUUGCCACGGACCGUCAUCGCCUCCACAUCACCGGCCAGCUCCAGCCCACUCGCCCAUCGCCACCAGAGCCUCCAGCCACCAGCCAGUGCAUACCAGCAAUCCGGGAAGACAAUACUUCCUCCACCAUCACCACCUCAAGUGCCUCUACAGCCUGACCAACCUCUCCCAAUUCCCCAAAGCCCGACCACCGGAGGGAGCGCUCCAUCGGGAAGCGCAGGGGCUGGAUGGGCAUAGCCCGUCGCCCCCAAUCGUUGGAUACAGGAAGGAAGGAAGUAGGGGAUCAGGGAGAGUGAAAGGAAGAAUUGUGAGGAAAAAAUAUGUAUGGAAGGAUGUAGGAAAGGAAAAACAGGAGGAAUAAAUGUUUUGUCUUAACAUUUUGGCGCCCGAAGCUAAAGGAAAACCGUGUGUGUUGCGAUCGCGCAAUUUUUGAAUUUGAAUGUCUGGAGAUCUGUGGAAGUUGUGGAAUUAAAUCCUUGUUGAGGCGACGAGGGCGCUGCAUUGAGAGAAAAGUUGGAGGGAAAUCGGAGAGCUGGCGAAGAAAAAACGAGGAAUCUUUCUCUUUUGCCACGGACCGUCAUCGCCUCCACAUCACCGGCCAGCUCCAGCCCACUCGCCCAUCGCCACCAGAGCCUCCAGCCACCAGCCAGUGCAUACCAGCAAUCCGGGAAGACAAUACUUCCUCCACCAUCACCACCUCAAGUGCCUCUACAGCCUGACCAACCUCUCCCAAUUCCCCAAAGCCCGACCACCGGAGGGAGCGCUCCAUCGGGAAGCGCAGGGGCUGGAUGGGCAUAGCCCGUCGCCCCCAAUCGUUGGAUACAGGAAGGAAGGAAGUAGGGGAUCAGGGAGAGUGAAAGGAAGAAUUGUGAGGAAAAAAUAUGUAUGGAAGGAUGUAGGAAAGGAAAAACAGGAGGAAUAAAUGUUUUGUCUUAACA
This is a long non-coding RNA of Phlebotomus papatasi, 1083 nucleotides long. RefSeq lists it as uncharacterized. Lineage: Eukaryota; Metazoa; Arthropoda; Insecta; Diptera; Psychodidae. The transcript has 2 exons. The record is from RefSeq and is a predicted model, not a curated record.